This 253-nucleotide ribosomal RNA is filed under the name uncultured bacterium. Its description in RNAcentral is "partial 16S ribosomal RNA". It matches the Rfam family "Bacterial small subunit ribosomal RNA", at positions 524 to 776 of the family's 1533-position model. The record is from RNAcentral.
UACGGGGGGAGCAAGCGUUGUUCGGAUUUACUGGGCGUAAAGGGCGCGUAGGCGGCGUGACAAGUCACUUGUGAAAUCUCCGGGCUUAACUCGGAACGGUCAAGUGAUACUGUCGUGCUAGAGUACAGAAGGGGCAACUGGAAUUCUCGGUGUAGCGGUGAAAUGCGUAGAUAUCGAGAGGAACACCUGCGGCGAAGGCGGGUUGCUGGGCUGAUACUGACGCUGAGGCGCGAAAGCCAGGGGAGAGAACGGG